RNAcentral lists this ribosomal RNA (253 nucleotides) under uncultured bacterium. RNAcentral's name for it is "partial 16S ribosomal RNA". It matches the Rfam family "Bacterial small subunit ribosomal RNA", at positions 524 to 776 of the family's 1533-position model. The record is from RNAcentral.
UACAGAGGUGGCAAGCGUUGUUCGGAAUUACUGGGCGUAAAGGGCGCGUAGGCGGUUCGAUAAGUCCCGUGUGAAAUCCCUCGGCUCAACUGAGGAACUGCACGGGAAACUGCCGGGCUUGAGUUCGGGAGAGGGAAGCGGAAUUCCGGGUGUAGCGGUGAAAUGCGUAGAUAUCCGGAGGAACACCGGUGGCGAAGGCGGCUUCCUGGACCGACACUGACGCUGAGGAGCGAAAGCGUGGGGAGCGAACAGG